This 482-nucleotide ribosomal RNA is filed under the name uncultured Acidobacteriota bacterium. RNAcentral's name for it is "bacterial SSU rRNA". It matches the Rfam family "Bacterial small subunit ribosomal RNA", at positions 397 to 896 of the family's 1533-position model. Lineage: Bacteria; Pseudomonadati; Acidobacteriota. The record is from RNAcentral.
CCGCGUGAGCGAUGAAGCCCUUCGGGGUGUAAAGCUCUUUCGGCAGGGACGAUAAUGACGGUACCUGAAGAAGAAGCUGCGGCUAACUACGUGCCAGCAGCCGCGGUAAUACGUAGGCAGCAAGCGUUGUUCGGAGUUACUGGGCGUAAAGGGUGUGUAGGUCGGUUCUCUAAGUUUGGUGUGAAAUCUCCCGGCUCAACUGGGAGGGUGCGCCGAAAACUGGAGGGCUUGAGUAUGGGAGAGGAAAGCGGAAUUCCUGGUGUAGCGGUGAAAUGCGUAGAUAUCAGGAGGAACACCUGUGGUGUAGACGGCUUUCUGGACCAUUACUGACGCUGAGGCACGAAAGCGUGGGGAGCAAACAGGAUUAGAUACCCUGGUAGUCCACGCCCUAAACGAUGCAUACUUGGUGUGAGCGAUUCAUUUCGUUCGUGCCGGAGCUAACGCGUUAAAUAUGCCGCCUGGGGAGUACGGUCGCAAGGCUG